RNAcentral lists this ribosomal RNA (467 nucleotides) under Hadra barneyi. RNAcentral's name for it is "partial 12S ribosomal RNA". The record is from RNAcentral. Lineage: Eukaryota; Metazoa; Mollusca; Gastropoda; Stylommatophora; Camaenidae.
GUCAAACUUUAGUUAAGAGAAACUGUCAGCGUCAAACGCGCCAGCAGCAUUACCUGUGGUGAAAUACGGAAAUAACUACCACUAUCUGCGCGUCUUAAUAACCAAACAUUACUGCUAAACCAGGGAUUAGAGACCCCUUUAUACAAAUGCUCAUUAUAGAUUGCGGGGUACUACAACUAUAAGAGUUAAAACUUAAACAACAUGGCGGUAAUUUUAAUUUAGGGGAACUUACUUAAUAAUUGAUAACCACCAAGGUAAAUUAACUUUGGUAAACUCUUGUAUGCCGUCGUCGUCAGGUAGCACUUAAUGUUCUACCAUAAUAGUAUACCUAAAAAGACAGAUCAAGGUGCAGACAAUACCAAAGUUGUAGCGAGUUACAAUUUUAAUUACUAACAGACAAACUACGUAAAUAACAUUGAAGGCGGACUUAACAGUAAUAAAUAUUAUUAAUAUUUUAUGAAAUGUUU